This is a long non-coding RNA of Brassica napus (rape), 2352 nucleotides long. RefSeq lists it as uncharacterized. NCBI's taxonomy places the organism in Eukaryota, Viridiplantae, Streptophyta, Magnoliopsida, Brassicales, Brassicaceae. The record is from RefSeq and is a predicted model, not a curated record. The transcript has 3 exons.
UUAUACACUAACUCACAGCGUACAAAUACAAAAGUUGUUUGAUAAACUCAUAAACACUACAAAUUCAAUAUUAGUUUCUCUUAAGCAACUAUGACAAACACGCUUAAAGAAAAAUCAAAUUUUUGGUUGGACACCUAACACUUACUCAACCAUUUGUCCCGAGUCAAUGAUCGACGACUUUUGACUCCACGAGUCUUUGACUAGGGAGUUUGGUAAAAAGUGAAAGUUGUGAAAAAAUAACUAGAGCAUGAGAUCUUAUAUGAGGAGUUUUUAGUUUAAUUAGGGAUUAAAUAAAAAGAAAAAAGCUAAUAACCAGAAGCAACUUAUCUUAAUUAGGUGACAUAAGAUCAUGAUUAUCCGGAGAUUUUAGAUGGGGUUCUUAGUUUAAUUAGGAAUUAAAGAAAAAGAAAAAUGGUAAUUACCAUAAGCAACGUAUCUUAAAUAGGCAAUACAAGAGCCGCCUCUUAUAUGACACGCGUCGCUUUAUUGCUCUUUUCCCCUAUUUUUUCUGUUUCGUUUCUUUUGCCUUUUCUCGAGAAAAUUCCAAAGAGAAAAUCUCGUGAUUACAAAUCUGAUCAUGGAGAUGGAGUCAUCAAAGGUUCUUGAAAAUACAGACCAGAAAACUGAUCAGUGAGUACUAAUCCAGCGAUGACCUUCGACGAGGUUCCAUGGAACGCAGCAAGAGCUUCUUCAAGGCCUUGCAUGUUUCCUUUUCUUUAAUCUCUCUCUCUCUUCGCUGCAUAUUCUUUUGCUUCUGUUUGAUUAGAUUCUUUUUAAAAAGUUAAAAAUCUAUGAACAUGAUUUGUCUGAGUCAGAUUCAUGAUCUCCUUGUAUGCUCUCAAGGCUUUGUGAUCCAAUGAUCUCUAAUAGCUUUGUAAUUUGUUCCAACAAUUGGCUGUUAGUUAACUUGUGAUGCGGACUUUCAUCCUUUACGUUUUUGAUGUAACAGGAGCUGAAGAACUUGAGAGCUCAGCUCUACUCUGCUGCUGAUUAGUUUGAGAAGUCUUAUCUCCACAGCGAACAAAAGCAAAUGGUGUUGGACAAUUUAAAGGACUAUACUGUAAAGGCUCUUGUUAAUGUUGUUGAUCACUUGGGUACUGUUGCUUCCAAGCUUACUAAUCUCUUUGAUCAGCAGAGUUCUGACAUUUCAACUAUGGAGCUGAGGGCUUCUUGUGUUAGUCAGAAACUCCUUACUUGCCGGACUUUGUUAGUCCUCUCAAACGAUCUGAAUCAAGACAGAAUCAUUGCAAUGCGCCAGAAGGUGAGUUUUUGUGUUUCCACACAGCUCAUCAUUUUCAUGUGGCAGUGUGUUUUAUUUAUAUAGUUUUCCACCUUUGAUUAGUGGCGCCUUUGUGAGAUUGACCUUGAGGACUACUUUUUUGUUCUACUAACCAGGUUGUUCCAGAGCAUCCAGAGACACAUUUACUUGAAGCGACCAAUGGACAAGGUCACCUCCGUUGCCAUUCCUCUUGCCUUGGCUGCAUCUUCUCUCUACAUGAUUGUAAGUUUGUAUCUGUUCCAUUUUCUUGUUUGUUUUUUUCAGAAUUGUGUAUUCAUGCUUUUCUAUGUUUUUUUAGAAUCUGUUAUGUUCUUCACUGAAUAGUUUUGAUUGAAGCUUAUAUUUGUUGUUAUUCCUCUUGCCUUGAUUGCUGUUACUGAGUUCUUUAAUAACCUGUUAGGCUGCUACUGAGCUUUUUAGGACCUUACUUUCUUUCACUCAACAACACUAUUGUUCUGAGUUAGGUCUCAAAUUGCAGACCAAUUGCUCCUGUGUUUUGCAUAUCUAUAAACAUAUAUAUGCUUGUAUCCAAUCUUCAUGAACCAUAUACAUGUUUGGACAAUUUUUUUUUUUUAAGAACUUCUAAAUAAGAGAUUCUCAUUAGAGCACAAAAUCAAAGUAUUUCUUAGCUAAGAUUCUUAAUUACAUUUAAUUAAUAAAAUAAUCACUAAAAUACCUAAGUGAGGUUGUGGGUUAAUCAUGCCCUUAGAUGCAUAGAAGUGCGAUAAAAACUGAAAUAUUGUAGGAUUUUUGUAAAUAGAGAGAUUACCUGAUGAUUUGAACAGAGUUAAGGUUUUUUACUAGUUGGGUAGGUAAAGUUAUUUUUAACGAAAAAGUAAUAAUGUUAGCUACAAAAGUUUUGAUUCGUUGACCAAGGCCUUUGAUCUAGAAUAUGGUGUGUACUAAAAACUCGGAAACAGAUCCCAAAAUGUGAAUGUGGACUUUGGAAUCAUAUAAAUUGGAAAAUAAUUGACAAAUUUUUGGCACACUAUAUUUAAUGUAAUUUGUAAUCAUGUAAUGCGAAUAAAUUAUUAUUUAUAAGAUUUAUAUCCUAAUACCCUGACAUUUAAAUA